CGGGGAAUAUUGCACAAUGGGCGCAAGCCUGAUGCAGCCAUGCCGCGUGUAUGAAGAAGGCCUUCGGGUUGUAAAGUACUUUCAGCGGGGAGGAAGGGAGUAAAGUUAAUACCUUUGCUCAUUGACGUUACCCGCAGAAGAAGCACCGGCUAACUCCGUGCCAGCAGCCGCGGUAAUACGGAGGGUGCAAGCGUUAAUCGGAAUUACUGGGCGUAAAGCGCACGCAGGCGGUUUGUUAAGUCAGAUGUGAAAUCCCCGGGCUCAACCUGGGAACUGCAUCUGAUACUGGCAAGCUUGAGUCUCGUAGAGGGGGGUAGAAUUCCAGGUGUAGCGGUGAAAUGCGUAGAGAUCUGGAGGAAUACCGGUGGCGAAGGCGGCCCCCUGGACGAAGACUGACGCUCAGGUGCGAAAGCGUGGGGAGCAAACA
RNAcentral lists this ribosomal RNA (427 nucleotides) under Brucella melitensis. RNAcentral's name for it is "partial 16S ribosomal RNA". It matches the Rfam family "Bacterial small subunit ribosomal RNA", at positions 355 to 774 of the family's 1533-position model. Lineage: Bacteria; Pseudomonadati; Pseudomonadota; Alphaproteobacteria; Hyphomicrobiales; Brucellaceae. The record is from RNAcentral. RNAcentral also lists the same sequence under 1 other name.